CACGUAGGGCGCAAGCGUUGUCCGGAAUUAUUGGGCGUAAAGAGCUCGUAGGCGGUCUGUUGCGUCCGCUGUGAAAAACUCGGGGCUUAACCCCGAGCCUGCAGUCGAUACGGGCAGGCUGGAGUUCGGUAGGGGAGACUGGAAUUCCUGGUGUAGCGGUGAAAUGCGCAGAUAUCAGGAGGAACACCGGUGGCGAAGGCGGGGUCUCUGGGACGGUACUGACGCUGAGACGCGAAAGCGUGGGGAGCGAACAGG
Molecule: ribosomal RNA, 255 nt
Filed under: uncultured bacterium
Lineage: Bacteria
Description: partial 16S ribosomal RNA
Rfam family: Bacterial small subunit ribosomal RNA
Source: RNAcentral